GACGAACGCUGGCGGCGUGCUUAACACAUGCAAGUCGAACGGGAUCCGGGCUUUCGGGUUUGGUGAGAGUGGCGAACGGGUGAGUAACACGUGAGUAACCUGCCCCCUUCUUUGGGAUAACGUCGGGAAAUCGGCGCUAAUACUGGAUAUUCUUGCUGCAUCGCAUGGUGUGGUUUGGAAAGGGUUUCUGGUGGGGGAUGGGCUCGCGGCCUAUCAGCUUGUUGGUGGGGUGAUGGCCUACCAAGGCUUUGACGGGUAGCCGGCCUGAGAGGGUGUCCGGCCACACUGGGACUGAGACACGGCCCAGACUCCUACGGGAGGCAGCAAUGGGGAAUAUUGCACAAUGGGCGCAAGCCUGAUGCAGCGACGCCGCGUGAGGGAUGACGGCCUUCGGGUUGUAAACCUCUUUCAGUAUGGAACAAGGAUCCUUCUUUUGGGGGGUUUGAGGGUACGUGCAGAAGAAGCGCCGGCUAACUACGUG
Molecule: ribosomal RNA, 481 nt
Filed under: uncultured bacterium
Lineage: Bacteria
Description: partial 16S ribosomal RNA
Rfam family: Bacterial small subunit ribosomal RNA
Source: RNAcentral